AUUUAGGCAUGUCUGAAAUUUAAGUUGAUAUAAUCAGCUUCACAGUAUUUCUUUCUGUGUUAGAUUUAGCAUGUAUAAAAGUAUAUAAUUUCAUGUGACUGUCCAAGCUUUUGGGUGGAUAUUUCUAAUCAAGAACUAGCAAUUUGCAAAGAUUUAGGUAGCACUGUAUUGAUUGUCUUAUUUGCUGUCAUGUCAUAGUUUUUUUUUGUUUGUUUGUUUUG
RNAcentral lists this long non-coding RNA (221 nucleotides) under Bos taurus (domestic cattle). RNAcentral describes it as "long non-coding RNA NONBTAT022504". Lineage: Eukaryota; Metazoa; Chordata; Mammalia; Artiodactyla; Bovidae. The record is from RNAcentral.